UUUCGGACGGAACGAAAGGUAGUCUUGGGGUUCCCUGGUUCAGCUCUGUCCAUUCGACUACUUUUCCGUCAAAAUCCGGACCCAUCAAUUUUCGCUAAAAAUGGGGCCUUUGUAAAUUUGGCCAAAGAUGAAAAAAAUAAAAAUCGCUGGAAAUGACCGGGAUUGGUCCGACAGAACCCCCUUUCAAUCUCUCAGUCGAAAUGUUACGCCACCAGGCCAUGAUAAGUGAGUUACGCAUGUUCUUUCUUGGACCGGCUCGCCUGCUAGGUAGGCAGCCCGUUGUACGCUGCCCGCCAGAUUCAAAAGACCAUCCCUUAAAACUCAAGUUACUGUGGACAGGGGUGGUUUCUGGCGGAACCAAAAGUAGUUUUGUGGUCCCCUGGUUUACCCCUGUCGAUUCGACUACUUUUCCGUCGAAAUCCGGACCCACCCAUUUUCGCUAAAAACACAAAGGCUAUAGCCUUUGUAAAUUUUGCCAAAAAUGAAAAAAAUAAAAAUAGCUGGAAAUGAUUGGAAUUGGUCUAGGAGAGUCGACUUUGACCACCUCUGUCGAAAUUGCAUGCUUCCUGCCUCUUUUGCAUCCUGUUUCUUCGACUACAAAAUUGCGUCUUUGGUUUGUUGCAGGAAGAUUAUCGGCGUGGAGGUGCACCUGACUUGGACAUCAGCAAAGCAGCCUAUGUGUCACCUGCUGUAUGCUGAGUUGGAGUUGGAGCACACAUGAUUGCAUGAAUGAAUCUGGUAUUUAGAUUCGCCCAAAGUCACCAGCAGAAACAAGCCAACUAAUGGAGCAAGAUGUACUCUCAUAAUGUAAAUGAUUUGAAACAAUAAAGAAUU
Molecule: long non-coding RNA, 834 nt
Organism: Frankliniella occidentalis (western flower thrips)
Lineage: Eukaryota; Metazoa; Arthropoda; Insecta; Thysanoptera; Thripidae
Exons: 2
Source: RefSeq, a predicted model, not a curated record